GACGAACGCUGGCGGCGUGCCUAAUACAUGCAAGUAGAACGCUGAAGGAGGAGCUUGCUUCUCUGGAUGAGUUGCGAACGGGUGAGUAACGCGUAGGUAACCUGCCUGGUAGCGGGGGAUAACUAUUGGAAACGAUAGCUAAUACCGCAUAAGAGUAGAUGUUGCAUGACAUUUGCUUAAAAGGUGCAAUUGCAUCACUACCAGAUGGACCUGCGUUGUAUUAGCUAGUUGGUGGGGUAACGGCUCACCAAGGCGACGAUACACAGCCGACCUGAGAGGGUGAUCGGCCACACUGGGACUGAGACACGGCCCAGACUCCUACGGGAGGCAGCAGUAGGGAAUCUACGGCAAUGGACGGAAGUCUGACCGAGCAACGCCGCGUGAGUGAAGAAGGUUUUCGGAUCGUAAAGCUCUGUUGUAAGAGAAGAACGAGUGUGAGAGUGGAAAGUUCACACUGUGACGGUAUCUUACCAGAAAGGGACGGCUAACUACGUG
RNAcentral lists this ribosomal RNA (495 nucleotides) under uncultured bacterium. RNAcentral's name for it is "partial 16S ribosomal RNA". It matches the Rfam family "Bacterial small subunit ribosomal RNA", at positions 28 to 507 of the family's 1533-position model. The record is from RNAcentral.